UAGCCAGGCCGACUAAAGAUGGCUUCCAAUUCGUUCCGUAUUCGAAACCAGCGAGUUAUUUAGAAAAAUACAAGUGCUGUAUCAGACUCUGUGGAAGACCUCAUCAACAGCUGAACUUGGAAAUUUUGAAAGAUCGUUCAAAGGCGAAACAUCUAUACGUCUGUACAAAACACUUUGUCGACGGGAAAUCCAAUCAAGAAAACCCUGACCCUCAAGCAGCUACUGUAUUUGACCAGCUCACACCAGCUAGGCCUCCUCCAAAACUCAGAUAAAUAUUUGAGCCACCAAAAAAAACGAGAACAGAUCGGUCUGAAUCGUUAAGAACUGAAGCUAACAUCAUAGAGGUACAUCCUUCCAAGAAUCCAUCAAAACAACAUGCUGAACAACUUCAAGAACUCUCUUCAAAAGACCACACUUUCCUGAAAUAAAUAAAAGAUG
Mya arenaria is the source of this 438-nucleotide long non-coding RNA. RefSeq lists it as uncharacterized. Lineage: Eukaryota; Metazoa; Mollusca; Bivalvia; Myida; Myidae. The record is from RefSeq and is a predicted model, not a curated record. The transcript has 3 exons.